CUUUGAGAUUCUACAGCCUGAUGACAUUUGCAAUUCAUGUGAACAAAUAGGACCACAAGAUUGAAAUCCAAAAUUGUCUUUACAGGUUGGAAAAAUUGUCUGGAAAAAAUGAAGUCCAAUUCAAUAAGCCUAAAUGUGAAAUUCUAGCCCUGAGAAGGAACAAUCAGCUGUGUGAUACAGGAGAGUGGAUGAGUGGCAGCAGCCAGUGAAGGAGAAUAAGGUCCAUCGCAGGCACCCAAGGAAUAUUUGUCAGGAAUUCACACUGCUCUGUAAAAGGAAACUACUUUGCAGAAAUGGGAAUGCACCAGGUUGUAAUGUCACAGCCAGAACACCGUGCCUGUACAGAUGGCAGGUCCAAGAGAGGCGGUGUGAGCAGGUUCUGCAAUGGAUUAGAGAAGAUCUCUUCAAUCAUAUUUCCUGCUUCCUGGAGACUUGGUUCCAGAGGAGGAAACUGUUCUGAUGGUCUUUUUCCACAGAGGUCAUGAAAACUGCUGUGACAGGUGAGGUGGCCAGGGGAAAAUGCCAAUCACUUAUGUUACAGUCUCCAUAUUUUGUGCUGUCCCCCAGACUCAUUCUCCAUUUGGUUGUUCAUUUUCUUCAUAGGUUUUGGCAGCCUUGCUGGCUACAAAUUUUCUCGUAUAUCCACUGAUUCGAAUUCUUGGUGUGAAAUACUUCUAGAACUCUCCUGUCAUCAGCUGCCCUUCUUGAAGACCGUUUUUACUCCUCUGUGUAGUUUGAGAUCUGAUCUUCUUCAGUGCCUCCAGUUGCUCUGAUAAAAGCUACUGUGUCCUGCAGAUAUACAUACAGGUAAGGUCCAAGCUCUGGGAUUUCAGACUUUUUUGUUUCUCAAGACCUAGUGAAAAACUUUAUCCCACCAAGCACAUAUGUUUAUGUAGUUUGCCAGGAGAAUCUUCUGCUAGAUCAGUAAAAAGAUAAAAUAGAAUGUCAAAAUCUGUAACACGUCAUUAAUUACUAGUGUAGAAUUUGCAAAUCCAAAAUCAAAAAUUC
This 1008-nucleotide long non-coding RNA is filed under the name Calidris pugnax (ruff). Its description in RNAcentral is "lncRNA (ENSCPUG00000008602.1)". The record is from RNAcentral. Lineage: Eukaryota; Metazoa; Chordata; Aves; Charadriiformes; Scolopacidae.